AUCUAGUUGCAGUCCAUCAUAGACCGUGCUCCAUGCUAUCCACCAGAUACGAUGUAGACCGAUCAGGGGUGGGUGACUUCUAAUGGUGGCUAUUUUGUUUUGGCAUGAUCCGAUAACUCUAGUUCGAGCCAAUCAGGAUCGGAUGGCUAAGACUCAAUCUGGGUUUGAGCUAGAGAUUAGAGGCAUGAUCCAAUGGUUUUGAUGUGAUCUGGAUGUGAUCGGAUGGCCCAGAUCGAAUUCGAGCAUGAUCUGGACACAGUAUGC
This 264-nucleotide long non-coding RNA is filed under the name Elaeis guineensis (African oil palm). RNAcentral describes it as "long non-coding RNA (EGUI_LNC038697)". The record is from RNAcentral. Lineage: Eukaryota; Viridiplantae; Streptophyta; Magnoliopsida; Arecales; Arecaceae.